This 376-nucleotide ribosomal RNA is filed under the name uncultured organism. RNAcentral describes it as "partial 16S ribosomal RNA". It matches the Rfam family "Bacterial small subunit ribosomal RNA", at positions 526 to 896 of the family's 1533-position model. The record is from RNAcentral.
GUACGGUGGCAAGCGUUGUCCGGAAUUAUUGGGCGUAAAGCGCGCGCAGGCGGGGUCCUUUAAGUCUGAUGUGAAAGCCCACGGGCUCAACCGUGGAGGGUCAUUGGAAACUGGGGGACUUGAGUACAGAAGAGGAAAGCGGAAUUCCAAGUGUAGCGGUGAAAUGCGUAGAGAUUUGGAGGAACACCAGUGGCGAAGGCGGCUUUCUGGUCAGUAACUGACGCUGAGGCGCGAAAGCGUGGGGAGCAAACAGGAUUAGAUACCCUGGUAGUCCACGCCGUAAACGAUGAGUGCUAAGUGUUAGGGGGUUUCCGCCCCUUAGUGCUGCAGCUAACGCAUUAAGCACUCCGCCUGGGGAGUACGGCCGCAAAGGCUG